Hydractinia symbiolongicarpus is the source of this 2206-nucleotide long non-coding RNA. RefSeq lists it as uncharacterized. NCBI's taxonomy places the organism in Eukaryota, Metazoa, Cnidaria, Hydrozoa, Anthoathecata, Hydractiniidae. The transcript is spliced from 4 exons. The record is from RefSeq and is a predicted model, not a curated record.
GAAAAAAAUUCCUUAUAAGGCAAUUGAUUACAUAAUCGGUUAUAUCAAGAUGGUAACACGGUAACGGCGUGCUGCAAAACUGAAAAUCGACAUACUGAGAUCAUAAUCAAAUCAUCCUAUGUAGUAAACUGCUAAGACAGACAUCAUUGACAUUGUGAUUGUAAGGUAAAGGUCCCCUUCUUCUUCUCUGCCUCCUGUGUCUGUGUUUCCCUCCUACAUGCGGCUGAGAUCUGUGUUCUGUCGUCAAAUGGGAUUGUUUACCGUGGUACGAUGGUUUUGUUUGGUGGUUCUGCUAAGGUAAGGAGUGUGUAAAUAUGUCAAAAAGGGAAAAAUGAUGGGUUUAGUUUACUAGACUAGACCUUUAUGUGGCGCUGUAGAUUAGUGGUUAUAGCUCUCGUACUCUGUGCGGGAGACCGGGGUUCGAUUCCUCUUGACGGCGAUUCAGCAUGGGCGAGUGAAUGUUACCAUAGCCCCCGGGUUAACCCAAGCCAUGUGAGGGAAAUUGGGAAGAUGGCACACUGUGUGGGCCGUUGGAUGUUGCCGGGAGUUGUCUAGUAGAGCGCAGGCUCUAAUUGGGUCUGUGUAGCUCAAAAUGAGCAUUAAAUACUCUAGAACUCUCCAUCUACGCCAUGGCCCCUCCUGGAAAUAAUAGACAGAGUAUAUCCCUCGAUAUUUGUGAGGCUAGCCAUGUAAAAUAUGCACAUCUAUCUAUCUAUCUAUCUAUCUAGUUUCUGCCACAAUUAUGUAAGUUUCAGCUACAAGUGGCACCAUAGUUUAAUGGCACUGUCGAAAAAAUAUGCUUGGUCAGCGUCAUUUCUAAUUAGCUACAACAGUCAAUUGGUCAGAUAAAAAAAUUUCCAAAAAAUUACAAAAAUACUAUAUUUCACAGCCAUAUUUGGUUAUUUGUUUUAAAUGUACGCCAGCUGUAUUUUUAGCCUCCGUUUCAAGUUCAAUUAACUUGGUUCCCAUGAUUUUCGCUUGUAUUGCCGUAUAAAUGCGAAGCAGGAAAAUAUAGCACUGAGUAGCAUAGCGCAGUCCCCUAUCGAAAUAACAUUUAGAUGUAACAACAGUAAUUGGGAGGACCACUGAAAUAGUAAACGCCGAAUUUUGUUGUGUGUCGAAGAUUGUUCGUGAAUUGUUUGGUUUAUUCUUUACAAAUUUACCGUCUCCCGGACUCGACUUUCGCCUUUCAAAGUGAGUCGGUUGGUGAUGCUAACCAAUUAUAUUUUUAAGGAUGGCCUUAUAACUCUUGCACUUUAUGUUGAAGACAGGGGUUCAAUUCCCCUUGGAGACAAUUGUGAGCAUGAUACUUUGUUUUCCGAGUUAUACAAUUAUUUAAUGUAACCAAUGUUGGCCAUGCAUUCUGAGCACCAGAAUAACAACGCAUGACAACAAAGGUUGGUUCAACCCAGUAUACCAUAGCAUGUGCACGUUGGAAGAGAGAAUGCCUGGAUUCUUUUUUUUAGGUUGAGCCUAGCUGAAUAAGUGUCCCCCUGGAACAGGCUUAAAAAUUUACCCAAUGUUUUUUUGUUUCAUACGGUAAUUACAAUAAUUAAUUACAGAGUAAUUUACAGAGUAACUAAUAUUUGUAUGACUUUAUAUCCAUGGAUGAAGCAUUGUUUGCAUAUAUACCUUAACAACUGGAGUAACAUCAAAUACAGCUGCAUUGGUUGGAAUAUUAUAUUUUGUUUGUGAAAGUGUCAAUAGAUUGGCUAGGAACUUUAAUAGGGAAGAGAAAUGUUAUGAUGUCAACAGGAAAAUACUGGGUUGAUCUACCAAUGGUUUUUAAUAAAUUUGAAUUUUAGAAAAAAGAAUAUAAAAGUAUUGCUGUGUAAGUUGCACGUGCUAUCACUAUCAGAAAAUUUGACAGACAAUAUUGUCGACAAAAGCGAUAGUGAGAGAAUUAGAGAAAGGAGAAUCUUUACUACAAGGGAAGUAAAAAGAUUUGAAGUUGAGAUGACCUAAAUCCACAUCAAGCAUGAUGAUUCGAUGGUGGUUCUGUUAAAUUUAAAAUUAUUGCUUUUGCAAUCUUACGUUAAAGUCCAAUAUUCAAGAAUUAACAAUUAGGGCCUACAAAAUAUUUUUCUGUUCGAUUUCCUUUUAAAUAUUUAAUAUUUUGUGUGGUAUUAUUUGUGAAGGUAAAACGUUAGUUAUAUGUAAAAGUUUUGCAUAUCGAAGAAAGCUUUCAAAUGGAAACAAAUCCAUA